Molecule: ribosomal RNA, 253 nt
Filed under: uncultured bacterium
Lineage: Bacteria
Description: partial 16S ribosomal RNA
Rfam family: Bacterial small subunit ribosomal RNA
Source: RNAcentral
UACGGAGGAUGCAAGCGUUAUCCGGAAUGAUUGGGCGUAAAGCGUCCGCAGGUGGCAAUGUAAGUCUGCUGUUAAAGAGUCUAGCUCAACUAGAUAAAAGCAGUGGAAACUACAUAGCUAGAGUACGUUCGGGGCAGAGGGAAUUCCUGGUGUAGCGGUGAAAUGCGUAGAGAUCAGGAAGAACACCGGUGGCGAAGGCGCUCUGCUAGGCCGUAACUGACACUGAGGGACGAAAGCGUGGGGAGCGAACAGG